RNAcentral lists this ribosomal RNA (440 nucleotides) under uncultured bacterium. RNAcentral describes it as "partial 16S ribosomal RNA". It matches the Rfam family "Bacterial small subunit ribosomal RNA", at positions 339 to 795 of the family's 1533-position model. The record is from RNAcentral.
CUACGGGACGCAGCAGUAGGGAAUAUUGGGCAAUGGGCGCAAGCCUGACCCAGCAACGCCGCGUGCGCGAAGAAGGCCUUCGGGUCGUAAAGCGCUUUUCUGAGGGAUGAGAAAGGACAGUACCUCAGGAAUAAGCCUCGGCUAACUACGUGCCAGCAGCCGCGGUAAAACGUAGGAGGCGAGCGUUAUCCGGAUUUACUGGGCGUAAAGCGUGUGCAGGCGGUCUGGCAAGUUGGAUGUGAAAGCUCCCGGCUCAACUGGGAGAGGUCGUUCAAAACUACCGGACUAGAGUGUAUCAGAGGGAGAUGGAAUUCCCGGUGUAGUGGUGAAAUGCGUAGAUAUCGGGAGGAACACCAGUGGCGAAAGCGAUCUUCUGGGAUACUACUGACGCUCAGACACGAAAGCUAAGGUAGCGAACGGGAUUAGAUACCCGAGUAGUC